This is a long non-coding RNA of Monomorium pharaonis (pharaoh ant), 359 nucleotides long. RefSeq lists it as uncharacterized. The transcript is spliced from 3 exons. The record is from RefSeq and is a predicted model, not a curated record. Lineage: Eukaryota; Metazoa; Arthropoda; Insecta; Hymenoptera; Formicidae.
GCAAACGUCACACUCCCCCUAUCCGUGAGGCACGCGCGCUCGGCUGCGAUCGGCGCGGCGUGAGCCGUCGCGCACUCGGCUACGUUCGCAGCCGUAAACAACAAUCCAUUGUGUUUCAAUAAUUUACCUGUCAAACCACCAUCAAAUAAUUCACCUGUGGAAAAAAAUUAACACAUGAAACAGCCUCAUAUCUCAUAAAAAACAAAUUCUGUUGAGAAUAUCUCAACAAACAAAGAUAUUAAUUCUACGUCCCAUGAAACUCUUCAACCAAGUCAUUCUCAUGUUGCUGCUGUUCUCCAAGUUUUAGUAGACAGACAGGAAGAACUGAAUGGGAAAGUAGAACAUGUAAUCCUGAUGCU